Molecule: ribosomal RNA, 253 nt
Filed under: uncultured bacterium
Lineage: Bacteria
Description: partial 16S ribosomal RNA
Rfam family: Bacterial small subunit ribosomal RNA (bases 27-253)
Source: RNAcentral
UACCAGCACCCCGAGUGGUCGGGACGAUUAUUGGGCGUAAAGAGCUCGUAGGCGGUUUGUCGCGUCUGCUGUGAAAACCUAAGGCUCAACCUUGGGCUUGCAGUGGGUACGGGCAGACUAGAGUGCGGUAGGGGUGACUGGAAUUCCUGGUGUAGCGGUGGAAUGCGCAGAUAUCAGGAGGAACACCGAUGGCGAAGGCAGGUCACUGGGCCGCAACUGACGCUGAGGAGCGAAAGCAUGGGGAGCGAACAGG